UACGUAGGUGGCAAGCGUUGUCCGGAUUUACUGGGCGUAAAGGGCGUGCAGGCGGUUUGUUAAGUGCAGGGUGAAAGCUCCCGGCUCAACUGGGAGAGGUCCUUGCAUACUGGCAAACUCGAGGGAGGCAGAGGAAAGUGGAAUUCCCGGUGUAGUGGUGAUAUGCGUAGAUAUCGGGAGGAACACCUGUGGCGAAAGCGGCGCACUGGACCAUAACUGACGCUGAGGCGCGAAAGCUAGGGGAGCAAACAGG
RNAcentral lists this ribosomal RNA (253 nucleotides) under uncultured bacterium. Its description in RNAcentral is "partial 16S ribosomal RNA". It matches the Rfam family "Bacterial small subunit ribosomal RNA", at positions 524 to 776 of the family's 1533-position model. The record is from RNAcentral.